This 975-nucleotide long non-coding RNA is filed under the name Homo sapiens (human). RNAcentral's name for it is "HSALNT0347252". The record is from RNAcentral. Lineage: Eukaryota; Metazoa; Chordata; Mammalia; Primates; Hominidae.
CACAUGUUAAAUCCCCUAGUGAUCCUUUUGGGAAGCUGGAAUCGAAGAUGAAGGCUUUGAAGAACAAGCUGCCAUGAAUCCUGCAGCUACAAGGAAAUGAACUCUAUUAACUUGAGUGAGCUUAAAACUAGAUCCUUCCCCAGUCAAGCCUCCAGGUGAGAAUUCAAUCCUGGCUGGCACCUGGAUUGCAGCUUACAGAAGACCCAGCUAAGGCCAUGUCUGGACUUUAAAUCCACAGGAACUGCAAGAUGGUAUCAGAAGUGGGACCUGCAGUGGGGCAUCUAGCAACCCCCAGGAGCAUUGAGUGACCAGGCUUGGGACCCACCGGGCGCAGGGUGUCCAUUGUUCUCUCGAAGCAACUGAGAAUUGUGGAUAUUCUUCAUUAUUCCAUCAUCAUCUCAAACCUCUUGGGUAUAGUGUUUGACUACUACUGUGACCAUAAAUUCCAAUAAAACCUAGGAAAAAUGAAACCACUACAUUAACUGAAAGGGAAGGAUUUGACAGCUUCUUUUGGGCAUAUCAGAAUCGCCAGCAUCACUACUCUUGCACUGUGCGGCCAUUAUUAAGUGAAAUAAGGAUUACUUGAACACAAGCACUGCAAUGCCGCUACAGUCAAUGUGAUAACCCAGCUGGUGACUAAGUGACCAAGGACGGGGAGUAUCUACAGCGGGGAGACUCUGGAAAAAGGGAGGAUUCACAUCCAGUGCCACUGGGGCAGGGCAGAAUGAGAGUUCAUCAUGCUACAAAGAAUGGCACAGAAUAUACGACUUGUGAGUGGAUUAUCUCUGGAAUUUUCUGUUGACUACAUUUGUACUACAGUUGUAUGUGGGUAACAAACUGUGGAAAGUGAAACUUCGGGUAAGGGGGAGGCUACCGUAGAUAGCCCAGUAUUUCUUAUUUUGUGGAUUUGUUUAUCUUUCUGCUCACAUCCUUUUCCUUCUGCAUUACCAUUUUAGUAAAAAUAGAUAGCAUCCA